This 74-nucleotide transfer RNA is filed under the name Bacteroidales bacterium. Its description in RNAcentral is "tRNA-Ile". It matches the Rfam family "tRNA". From Rfam's summary of the family: Transfer RNA (tRNA) molecules are approximately 80 nucleotides in length. Their secondary structure includes four short double-helical elements and three loops (D, anti-codon, and T loops). The record is from RNAcentral. Lineage: Bacteria; Pseudomonadati; Bacteroidota; Bacteroidia; Bacteroidales. RNAcentral also lists the same sequence under 3 other names.
GGUCCCUUAGCUCAGUUGGUUAGAGCAACUGACUCAUAAUCAGUGGGUCGCAGGAUCAUGCCCUGCAGGGACCA